AAGUCGUAACAAGGUUUCCGUAGGGGAACCUGCGGAAGGAUCAUUAACGUUUUGUUUGUUGUAUUUUUAUAACAUGACAAUAUGUAAAUAUCCUAAAUUAUUAAAGAGAUGUUACAUCAUCUCGCGUCGUAUACGUAUACAAGACAUUGACUGGUAUAUAAAUCCGCACCACGAGUCUAAUACGUUACGUUCGUUAAUUCUUUUGACCAUCUAGCGGUGGGUCACCAUUGUUUUUUAACAAAAAAACUUAUACUCUUUAAAAAUGUAACAAUUAAGUCAAGGUGUAAUACGUUGACAAAACUAUUACCCUGGACGGUGGAUCACUUGGCUCGCGG
Molecule: unclassified non-coding RNA, 335 nt
Filed under: fungal sp.
Lineage: Eukaryota; Fungi
Description: partial internal transcribed spacer region
Rfam family: Eukaryotic small subunit ribosomal RNA (bases 1-46)
Source: RNAcentral